UGCUCCUCUUCAAUUCAAAAU
This 21-nucleotide non-coding RNA is filed under the name Caenorhabditis elegans. Lineage: Eukaryota; Metazoa; Nematoda; Chromadorea; Rhabditida; Rhabditidae. The record is from RNAcentral.